RNAcentral lists this long non-coding RNA (495 nucleotides) under Phoenix dactylifera (date palm). RNAcentral describes it as "long non-coding RNA (PDAC_LNC007203)". The record is from RNAcentral. Lineage: Eukaryota; Viridiplantae; Streptophyta; Magnoliopsida; Arecales; Arecaceae.
GGAGAACUUUGAACGGAUCUUCCACCCAAUAUCGAGGCUUACAAUGAUGUCUCAGUAGGAAGCACUUUUGGCGACGAUCAUAUACUAAAUCUUUUUCCUUAAAACUGCACAUGUCCAAUGAUUGUUGGCAACACUUCGCAUCAAUUUCAAACAUUAGUUGUGGUGUGUGGGUUGUCAAGGGACUGCAUAGUUCACAUGAGUAUACGUUGCAUAUGCCAAGAGUGGCAUUUAAAGCCACUCUUUUGUGAAGCAAAUUCUAGAAAAGUUCAUACCAACAGAAUUAAGAGAGUAAACAAACGAGGAUUAUUUUUAAAAGGAAACAACUGGUUACAAUGUCAUGGCCCAAAAUUCAAACUUGCUCGAAUCUUGAGGUGUGACCAUCAAAGUUGACCAAGAUACCAUUCAUGUUCAACAUCCUCAAAGGAAACCAUAUGUUCAAUCGAAAUUCUAUGAAAAAUAUAUUAUAAUCAAUAGCUCUUAGAUAAAGUCCACUCA